This 268-nucleotide ribosomal RNA is filed under the name uncultured prokaryote. Its description in RNAcentral is "partial 16S ribosomal RNA". It matches the Rfam family "Bacterial small subunit ribosomal RNA", at positions 526 to 788 of the family's 1533-position model. The record is from RNAcentral.
CGGAGGAUCCGAGCGUUAUCCGGAUUUAUUGGGUUUAAAGGGUGCGUAGGCGGGAGGAUUAAGUCGGUGGUGAAAUUUUAGUCAGCUCAACUAGUAAAAGUAGCCAUUGAUACUGGUUUCCUUGAGUGUGGAUGAAGUAGGCGGAAUUUGUGGUGUAGCGGUGAAAUGCAUAGAUAUCACGAGGAACUCCGAUUGCGCAGGCAGCUUACUAAACCAUAACUGACGCUCAGGCACGAAGGCGUGGGGAUCAAACAGGAUUAGAUACCCU